Long non-coding RNA from Sapajus apella (tufted capuchin), 3069 nucleotides. RefSeq lists it as uncharacterized. The record is from RefSeq and is a predicted model, not a curated record. NCBI's taxonomy places the organism in Eukaryota, Metazoa, Chordata, Mammalia, Primates, Cebidae. The transcript is spliced from 3 exons.
ACCAGGUGUAUUCACUGCCAUCCACGGGACAAGCUUGGGUCACCUCACAGUGCCCAGCAGGAGAGGCUCCUGGUGUGCUGGGCGCCCACCACUUCCCGCUGCUGCCUGCCUGUAAUAUCCACUCUGCUAAAGCCUUUCAUCUGCCCCUGAAGGCCCCAGUCCGCGGACUACCCACCCGCUGGGGCCCCAAGCUCUGCAGCAAGCCCAGGACCACUCCUCCCUGCCUGGCCAGCUUCAGAGCCCGGGGCCGCUCCUCCCUGCCUGGUCAGCUUCAGUGCCCCAGGACCACUCCUCCCUGCCUGGCCAGCUUCAGUGCCCCAGGACCACUCCUCCCUGCCUGGUCAGCUUCAGUGCCCCAGGACCACUCCUCCCUGCCUGGUCAGCUUCAGUGCCCCAGGACCACUCCUCCUUGCCUGGUCAGCUUCAGAGCCCGGGGCCACUCCUCCCUGCCUGCCUGGCCAGCUUCAGAGCCCGGGCCCGCUGCUCCCUACCUAGCCUUUGCCCAAACUGUGCUUGGUUCUCUGGCUUCUCUCCUCUGACUGGAGCCCAGUCCCUGAGCUCAGACCCCCGUCCCUGGAACUGGGCCACACAACAUGCCCUCUUGGCCCAGCCUUCAUCCCAGACAGGCGGCCUGACUUACCUGGAUGAACUUCUCGGGACAGAGGCUCCUCAGGACCUUGGACACCGCCACCUGCUGAGCUUCCUGCCCCAGCUACCUGGUGGGGCCCCCAGGGUGCCCUCGGCAGCUCAGUCCAGCCUGCAUCUGCCGCUCAGCCUUCCGAUGUGGGCAGUGUUUCCCAGCCCCACGGACCAGCCCAUCAUUCAGGGCCAAUAGGAUGGACUCCAGAUGCGGAAUGACACCUCACCAAGUGCUGGCCCCAGGUCCUGCCCACAGAGACGCCUGCAGCAGCGCACAGCUGGCAGGGCCACCUCCACCUCUCUAGCAGCGGGCAGGCUGGUAGAGCAGAUUAGCCCCAAAGCAGGAAAUUCCAGAUGAAAUAUGCAUAAGAAGCAGCCUCAAAACUAACAAAAAGAAAUUGCCUGCUCCUCAGUUCACAGGAGGAGCAGAGAUGAAGAAAAAGAAGAAAAGCGCUCGGAAGAGAGAAAAGGAAGCUCCUUCUGCGCAGCGGGCUCCUGGCCCGGGAAGGGUGGUCUGCAGCAGAGUGCGUGCAGGGAGGCACCCUCUGAAAUGUCUGGAAAUAGCUGCAGGGCUUUCACUUGGCUCCCAAACUUCUUCAGAGGUCCAAAUCAUCACAGUGGCCAACUUGGCAGCAGUGACCUCGGCACUCCGUGUCCUCAGGCUAAAACAAAGCCAUCCUACUUGGGCAGUGAGAACAUGGGGCGGGGGCUCCUGACUCCAGUGAGGCCUCCCUGGAGGGGAGUCCCAGGCAUCAACCUGAUGUUCAGAACCUUCCUGGCAUCUCAGAAAUGUACUGGGGAGACUGAGGAUCCUUGAGCCAAGUGUCCGUGUUCUCAUUGAACAUAAAACCCACAGCCCACAAGCUUCUCAGGAGCAUGGCACAUGCACCCAGCCCCCAGGCUCUGCCUGGGCAGCACCUCCUGGGCCGCCCUUACCAGCAGACACCACCCGCCCAGCCUCACUUGGCCAUCCUGACAGGCACCGUCUACCCAGCCUCGCUCGGCCGCCCUGACCAGUUGGCACCAUCUACCCAGCCUCAUUUGGCCGGCCAGGCUCUGCGGGCCUGAGAAUGCAGAGAACCUCCAAAUGUUGUGACUUUGCUCUGUGCGUCCUUUGUGCAAGCAUUUGUGAGCUAUGCCAGCAUCUGUCCCCAAAGGCCUCAUCCCUGAGCCAAUUCUCAGGAGAGCAGUAAGUGGGUACAGGGAGGGGGGCUCCCAGCCAGCCCCAGGACUGGAGGUCUGGGGACGAUGCCAGCCGCUCUGGCAGAGCCCUCCUCAUCUGGGCCUCUGUUCCUUUUCCACACCAGGAAGCAGAAAGGUCAAUCAGCGACUUAGGCCUGUUGGCUCUGGCGGGGUUCACCUGCGUUUCUGGGGAGCCCUGGGUGUACCUGGGCUCUGUGUCCAGUGAUCUCUCCUAUGGGUCCCCGUUUUGGGCACUGAAAUGUUUCUUUCCUGUGAAUGAGCUGAUGUCAAAACCUGCUAUAGAGGAAGACGGGCCUUGGGGGCAGUGUCUCCAGGGGAGCAGAGCUGAGGCAAUGGCCAGCAGGGUGUCUCCAGGGACUAGGGAAGAUGGGGCGUGCUCCAGAUCAGCCGGCAGGGAGCCCCAGGCCUGCAGAGCCUGGUGUUGGCGCUCUCCUGUUUCCUCCAAAAACCCAGCCAUGCAGGGAGCCCGACCCAAGCAGACGGCCCCCACCUUGGCAGAAUCCCCAGGACUGUGCAUGGCGGUGGGGGUGACUCCACAGUUGGGACCGGGCCUGAUGCUGCUGUCCCUCAGUCACCCCUGCAGUGGGCUCAGGGCAGGGCUCCGGCCUGAUGGGGGAUCCUGGACGCACCUCUGAGCCGGCAGCCCCUACCCCCACCCACACGCCUGCACCUUCACGCCUGUCUCACCCUGGGGCCCAGGUGCAGGUUUGUGGGGAGCACAGCGCAGUGUUCCCAUGACCUCUGCUCAGCCAAGUAGAUUCAGUGAGGGUUUUCCAUUUGUACCUGUCCCCAUGUGCCUGUUUCCUGGUGAGGCUGGACGCCCAGCAUGGCCGAACACUCCCGUUCCCCAGGCACGCAUGUGCAGCGGCCGCCACGCGUGCACUGUGACGCUGACCCCCCGUAACAGCCGCGGUAUUGGCCUUGCACUGGUGGCAGAUGUUGUCCUGUUUCCCACUGUUACUUCUGUUGUCUGAAAGUUUGACCGUCCUGCCAGCCAAAGCUGUUGAGCUUUACUCCGACAGACCAUCUGUCCUUCGUGAGCACCCUGUGCAUUUGGGAAAAGCAUCCACUUGUUUUCAGCCACGUUUCCUGUGACUUGCACUGCGUGUGUCCUCCUCUGUCUUCUGUGGUUCCCAGGCGGGCCCACCUGCCCACUGCUGACGCCUGCCUUCCCUGGUGCUUGCUGGCUUCUGUGUUCUCUGCAGUAAACAUGGAUUUCUGACUCGA